GCUUCCCACUGGGCGGUUAAUAGAAACAUUCCAAAGCAAUGAGCACCAGUCAGAAGUAAAGCUCUUAAAACAGGACAAGAAGAAAUGGGUGGGAAGCUGGAAUGAGAACAUUCAUCAGCAGCUCAAAGCACAGACUUCUAAGGGAAUCUUUCCUCACCCUCUGCCUCUUUGGAAUAUUACUGCUUUUGGGGAAACUACAUGCAACAGACAUCAUUCCAGGCACAGGAGCUAAAACUAUUAAGAACAUACACCUCUUGCUCUCAAGUUGUGUGCAAGCUAGCAGGAAGGGCUGAGAGAAAAACAGGCAAUUUCAGUUUUUAUGCUCAGCGUUGUUGACCAUCUAACUCACCUUGGAAGUCGAGACAGAACACCAGCUGAGAUUGACGUUAAAGCAUCAUCCAGGCGACCU
This is a long non-coding RNA of Homo sapiens (human), 409 nucleotides long. RefSeq lists it as uncharacterized. Lineage: Eukaryota; Metazoa; Chordata; Mammalia; Primates; Hominidae. The record is from RefSeq and is a predicted model, not a curated record. The transcript has 3 exons.